AGGAUGGCAGUUUGCCUCGAGAGAUGUCUUUUGGGGAGGAAUGACCUGAAGACCAAGAGUCACCAAGACUCAGCCCUGGUGUGCACCAGAACCCCUGGAGGAUUUGCUACAAAUGCAGGUUCCUGGGCCCACCCCAGGGCUUCUGAUUCAGCAGAGCCCAGGAACCUGCGUUCUUAAGGAGCACCCCCUGUGAUUUUGGAGCAUGUGUUCACUGGAUCACACGGUGAGAAAUGCUGUGGGUGUGACCGAAGGGAGAGACCUAACAGAUUUGUACUCAGGACUUUUGUCCACCGAACCUCUUGUUGGCCUUGGAGUACGAUCGACAGUAGGUGGGGAAGGGAGUGGAGAGCCACAACCCCUUCUGCAAGGUCAGCAGGCAGUGUAGACUGGCAGAGCUCAUGUGCCACCUCGACACCUUCUCCCCUCUGCUGGCUCUUCCUGAUUUCAGAGGGCAGGAUGAAUAAAAGAUCUUCAGUUUGCUGGGAGAAAAGGAAAAUCUCUUAAUUCUUUGAUUUUUCAGUGAUUUGACCCUGUUAAGUAGGUGCCUGUGAAACUUAAAAAUGAAAACGAAAAUAAAGGGAAGAAUAUUGGAACAAAAGGAAAAUCAAGUUAUUAAUUUCAUAGUUCACAAAACAGCGUACUGCUUUAGAAAGUAGAAGUCAACCUCUGUGGCCCCUGACAGUGUGACCUGCGUAACGACAGAGUGCAACACGUGCAGGCAGUGGGGCAGAAUGUCGUCAGAAUGAAUGGUUCGGCCGGAGCUCAGGUUCCCGAGUGGCCCAGAGCAGCAGCCAGCUGCAGCACUUGUCAGAAAUGCAGAUUCUGAGGCCCACCCAGACCUGCUGGGUCAGGAACUCUGGGGUGGGCCCAGCACCCAGUGUUUUAACAAGGUCUCUGGCAACACAUCUACCAGGAAGUUAAAACAGACUUCUGAUCAAGACAGCUAGACCCAAUAGACGACAGAGCCGUGUCCAGAAUUGGCCAAGCACAUGGAUGGCCUGAAAAUGAGCUGAAAGGUGGGGCUGGGGCCGGGAGGAGGAGAGCGCAAGGCAGCUAGCCAGGAUGCUUUCCCGCUGUGGGCACAGCAGGCCUGAAGUUGAGCGAGGGAGGUCAGCACGGGGCAAGUCUGUGUUCUUGGAGUGGACGUUCAACUUCCAAAUCGAGAUCAUGUCUGCCGCCUCGAGUGACAGCAGGAAAUGCCCAGCAGUGAAGGAUGAGUGGAGGAGCCAGGCGCUUUUGAGGCAGAGGCGGAUUGCCCAGGUGGAAGAAAUUGUGAUGAGAGGCAAAAUCACAGGAAAUAACGUUGUAUUCUUGUUGCACCCUGAGUUGUGCUUGCUCAGUGUUCUGGAAGGUCCAAAAGCGUAUAGAAUGAAGAACGAGCCCCCUCUGGUACCCUGCCCCGCCCCACUCCCCAUCGCAGUCUUGUCCCCAGAGGUGGCCGCAGCCACGGGCUCCUUGUGAGUCCUCCUGAGACAGAGCUGCGGAUCCCACCAGUGGUAAGACUUUCAC
RNAcentral lists this long non-coding RNA (1509 nucleotides) under Equus caballus (horse). RNAcentral describes it as "lncRNA (ENSECAG00000055350.1)". The record is from RNAcentral. Lineage: Eukaryota; Metazoa; Chordata; Mammalia; Perissodactyla; Equidae.